UUUAGGAACAUUUUCAAUGUAUUAGGUUUAUCCAACUCGUUGAGAAUUCUUAUUAGUGAAUUUUUGGUAUAUUUGGCUUUGCCUUACAAAACAACAAACAAGUUUGACCUCAAAUCAGGUAGGACUACCCGCUGAACUUAAGCAUAUCAAUAAGCGGAGGAAAAGAAACCAACAGGGAUUGUCUCAGUAACGGCGAGUGAAGCGACAAAAGCUCAAAUUUGAAAUCUGGCGCCUUCGGUGUCCGAGUUGUAAUUUGAAGAAGGUAACUUUGGUUUUGGCUCUUGUCUAUGUUCCUUGGAACAGGACGUCACAGAGGGUGAGAAUCCCGUGCGAUGAGAUGCCCAAUUCCAUGUAAAGUGCUUUCGAAGAGUCGAGUUGUUUGGGAAUGCAGCUCUAAGUGGGUGGUAAAUUCCAUCUAAAGCUAAAUAUUGGCGAGAGACCGAUAGCGAACAAGUACAGUGAUGGAAAGAUGAAAAGAACUUUGAAAAGAGAGUGAAAAAGUACGUGAAAUUGUUGAAAGGGAAGGGCUUGAGAUCAGACUUGGUAUUUUGUAUGUCUUGCUUUCGGGUAGGGCCUCUGCAGUUUAUCGGGCCAGCAUCAGUUUGGAUGGUAGGAUAAUGACAUUGGAACGUAGCACUGCUUCGGUGGUGUGUUAUAGACUUUGUUGAUACUGCCUGUCUAGACUGAGGACUGCGUCUUUGACUAGGAUGCUGCCA
RNAcentral lists this ribosomal RNA (716 nucleotides) under Scheffersomyces ergatensis. RNAcentral describes it as "LSU rRNA". The stretch from base 105 to 716 matches the Rfam family "Eukaryotic large subunit ribosomal RNA", at positions 1 to 631 of the family's 3401-position model. Lineage: Eukaryota; Fungi; Ascomycota; Pichiomycetes; Serinales; Debaryomycetaceae. The record is from RNAcentral.